AGUGGACGCAUCACUGGUGUUCGGGUUGUCAUGCCAAUGGCACUGCCCGGUAGCUAAAUGCGGAAGAGAUAAGUGCUGAAAGCAUCUAAGCACGAAACUUGCCCCGAGAUGAGUUCUCCCUGAGACUUUAAGUCUCCUGAAGGAACGUUGAAGACGACGACGUUGAUAGGUCGGGUGUGUAAGCGCAGCGAUGCGUUGAGCUAACCGAUACUAAUGAACCGUGAGGCUUAACCUUAC
Molecule: ribosomal RNA, 237 nt
Filed under: Enterobacter cloacae subsp. cloacae GS1
Lineage: Bacteria; Pseudomonadati; Pseudomonadota; Gammaproteobacteria; Enterobacterales; Enterobacteriaceae
Description: partial 23S ribosomal RNA
Rfam family: Bacterial large subunit ribosomal RNA
Source: RNAcentral